Limulus polyphemus (Atlantic horseshoe crab) is the source of this 411-nucleotide long non-coding RNA. RefSeq lists it as uncharacterized. The record is from RefSeq and is a predicted model, not a curated record. The transcript is spliced from 3 exons. Lineage: Eukaryota; Metazoa; Arthropoda; Merostomata; Xiphosura; Limulidae.
CACUAACCAGUAAUUCAUACGAGAAAACUUUUUGUAAAUAGGCAAGAUACUGAACUUACAGGAGAGAAUUGUACACCAGUAUAAAAGACAUUAAAAUUGUACUAGAAGAAUGUACAACAGUAGACAAGACAUUAAACUUUACUAGAAGAAUGUAUAACAGUAGACAAAACAUUGAAUGUGUGCUAUAAUAAUGUACAACAAUAGACAACAGUAGAAAGGAAAUUAAAAUUUUCACUGAAAGAAUGUACAAUAGUAGACAAGACAUUAAAACUUUUACUGGUAAAAUGUGCAACAGUAGAUAAGACAUCAAAUUUUGCACUGAAAGAAAGUACAAUGGUAGACAAGAUAUUAAAACUUGUACUGGUACUACAGUUGACAAGACAUUAAACUUCACUAGAAGAAUGUAUAACA